UCUUGGUGAUUUAGCGUUCUAGGAACCACCUCUUCCCAUUCCGAACAGAGUCGUGAAAAUAGAAAGCCCUGAUGAUACUGCUUGCGCAAGCGAGGGGGAAAGUAAGGUUUGCCGAGAG
This 118-nucleotide ribosomal RNA is filed under the name Patescibacteria group bacterium. The record is from RNAcentral.